Molecule: long non-coding RNA, 1618 nt
Organism: Carassius auratus (goldfish)
Lineage: Eukaryota; Metazoa; Chordata; Actinopteri; Cypriniformes; Cyprinidae
Source: Ensembl
CUGAGAUGAACUAUGGCCACCUGAAUAACCACCCGAGGCGACGGAUCAAGAAACACCGCGGGAAACGUGCUGGGAUUCUCAACAGACUGAGGAAAAGAGCACACAGCCCUCCUUUACCGAGCAUUCUGCUCGCCAAUGUUCAGUCUCUGGAGAAUAAGAUGGACGAUCUUAGAGCCAGGAAGUUUCAAACGGGACAUUAGGGACUGUAACAUCCAGAAUUCCUAAAAGAAUUUGCAGAUUUCCUCUCAGACCUUCUAGUUACAGUUGAUAAGGCGCUAAUCAUGGGAGAUUUUAAUAUUCACGUUGAUAAUACAAAUUAUACAUUAGGACUUGCGUUUACUGACCUAAUAAACUCCUUUGGAGUCAAGCAAAAUGUCACCGGGCCCACUCAUCGUUUUAAUCAUACACUAGAUUUAAUUAUAUCUCAUGGAAUCGAUCUUACUGCUAUAGAUAUUGUAUCUCAGUGAUGAUAUUACAGACCAUUUCCUUGUAUCGUGCAUGCUGCGUAUAACUGAUAUUAACUAUAUGUCUCAGCGAUACCAUCUGAGCAGAACUAUUGUUCCAGCCACCAAAGAAAUAUUCGCAAAUAACCUGCCUGAUCUAUCUCAACUGGUAUUUGUAUCCAAAAAUACACAUGAAUUAGACGAAAUUACUGACAACAUGGGCACUAUUUUCUCUAAUACAUUAGAAGCUGUUGCCCCGAUCAAAUUGAAAAAGGUUAGAGAAAAACGUACUGUACCCUGGUAUAACAGUAAUACUCACUCUCUCAAGAAAGUAACUCGUAGUCUUGAACGCAAAUGGAGAAAAACUAACUUAGAAGUUUUUAGAAUUGCAUGGAAAAACAGUAUGUCCAGCUAUAGACAGGCUCUAAAAACUGCUAGGGCAGAGCAUAUACACAAACUCAUUGAAAAUAACCAAAACAAUCCAAGGUUUUUAUUUAGCACAGUGGCUAAAUUAACAAAUUACCAGACGCCACCUGAUUCAAAUAUUCCACCAACGUUAAAUAGUAAUGACUUUAUGAAUUUCUUCACUGAUAAAAUAGAUAACAUUAGAAAUACAAUAGCGAAUGUAGAUUCUACAGCGUCUAACACUUCAGUUUCAUCCAUCGCACCCAAAGAUAAACUGCAGUGCUUUACAAAUAUAGGACAGGAAGAACUAAAUAAACUUAUCACUGUAUCUAAACCAACAACAUGUUUAUUAGAUCCUGUACCCACUAAAUUACUGAAAGAGCUGUUACCUGUAGCCGAAAAACCGCUUCUCAAUAUCAUUAACUCAUCGUUAUCGUUAGGUCACAUCCCAAAACCAUUCAAGCUGGUGGUUAUCAAGCCUCUUAUUAAGAAACCAAAACUAGAUCCUAGUGUACUGGCAAAUUAUAGGCCUAUUUCAAAUCUUCCAUUUAUGUCUAAAAUUUUAGAAAAAGUUGUGUCUGCUCAAUUGAGCACCUUCCUGCAUAAAAAUGAUAUGUAUGAAGAAUUUCAGUCAGGUUUUAGGCCCCACCAUAGCAUAGAAACUGCAAUUGUUAAAAUUACAAAUGACCUGCUCCUUGCGUCAGAUCAAGGCUGCAUCUCAUUUCUAGUCUUACUUGAUCUUAGUGCUGCGUUCGACACCAUAGAUCAUG